UACGUAGGUGGCAAGCGUUGUCCGGAUUUAUUGGGUUUAAAGGGUGCGUAGGCGGUCUUAUAAGUCAGUGGUGAAAUAUCCCGGCUUAACCGGGAGGGUGGCAUUGAUACUGUAGGACUUGAGUAAAGUUGAGGUUGGCGGAAUUGACGGUGUAGCGGUGAAAUGCGCAGAUAUCGGGAGGAACACCAAUUGCGAAGGCAGCUCGCUGGGACGUUACUGACGCUGAGACGCGAAAGCGUGGGGAGCAAACAGG
RNAcentral lists this ribosomal RNA (253 nucleotides) under uncultured bacterium. Its description in RNAcentral is "partial 16S ribosomal RNA". It matches the Rfam family "Bacterial small subunit ribosomal RNA", at positions 524 to 776 of the family's 1533-position model. The record is from RNAcentral.